CGUGGAUUUACACACCGCAGACACAGUCAUCCUAGACUCUGAGAGGGUACACAAGGUUCCUCUGAAUGCCACUGGGCCUCUGGGCCAGGGGCUGAGUGCACUACUCAUAGGAAGGUCUAGUGCCACUCUUCAGGGAAUCUUUGUUCACCCUGGAGUCAUUGAUGCUGACUUCACGGGUCAAAUUUAUGCUAUGGUUUCCACGCCUUCUCCCCCUGUCACUAUUCCGGCAGGAACUCGAAUUGCUCAACUUGUGCCUUUUCAUUCAUCUGUUCUCAGGGCAGAUCAACGAGAUCGCAAAGACGGUGGUUUCGGAUCCACAGGACCGCCACAAGUCUUUUGGACAAUGAAUAUCUCCGAUCAGCGCCCACAGAUGAUGUGCACUUUGACCCUCUCAGGCUGCAGAUGAUACAUGCCUGCCUCAUCGUUUGGGGCAGUGGGUACGCUUGCAUCUCAACAGAUACUGGGGUGCACUGCCUGCCUGCAAGGUGUGUCCGCCCUGAGCUGCGACAUCAGGGACAGAAUGCAGCCGAGGCACAGCCUUCAAAUGCUGAACAAUAUGCCAAUCACCAGCCAGACGAUCCCUCUGCAAGCAGAGGAUGAGCAUUCAUCUGUUUCUUUGGAAAUGUUUUUAGCUUUGGGACAUUGUUAAAUGAGCUCUUUUGAAAUAUAUUAAGAAAUUAUAAGUUUGGAAAAUGGUGAUGGGUUUUGCUAUCAAUUUUAGCACUGAGUUUCUCAAAAAGCACCAGGUGUGAAGAUUUCCCUGAGUGCUUCAGGCAUCCACAGAUCUCCAGAGUGGUGUUUGUUCUCCUCCACGUAGGGCCCCCGUGGAGGACUACAAGCACUUCUUUUCUUUU
Molecule: long non-coding RNA, 854 nt
Organism: Oenanthe melanoleuca
Lineage: Eukaryota; Metazoa; Chordata; Aves; Passeriformes; Muscicapidae
Exons: 2
Source: RefSeq, a predicted model, not a curated record